RNA transcript from Xiphias gladius (swordfish), 4043 nucleotides. It is a transcript of the gene named retinol dehydrogenase 14-like, with no coding region annotated. NCBI's taxonomy places the organism in Eukaryota, Metazoa, Chordata, Actinopteri, Istiophoriformes, Xiphiidae. The record is from RefSeq and is a predicted model, not a curated record. The transcript has 6 exons.
GGGAACUGUCCUCUGUUGAGACUUCUGGGUAAUGAAGUAUUUCUGUGUUGUUGUACACUCAUGCAGCCUGUUAGCUUUUUGAUGUUUGGAACUCUAAACAGCGGCGUAGUAGAUGGCUAAUGAUGCCAAAUGAUGAAUGGAAAGACAGUGAUAUUGACCGGUGCCAACAGCGGGAUAGGAAAAGCCACAGCAGCAGGCAUUGUGAAGCUCCAGGGCCGUGUGAUAAUGGCCUGCCGGAACCUGAGCAGGGCUGAGGAGGCUGCACGGGAGAUCCGAGAUGAGACUGGUGCGGACAGCACACAGCUAGUCCUCAAACAGCUGGACCUCGCCUCGCUGACAUCUAUACAAACUUUCUGUCAAGACAUAAUAAAGGAGGAGCCUCGGUUAGAUGUGCUUAUCAACAACGCUGGUGUCUACCAAUGUCCUUACACCAAAACAGAGGACGGCUUUGAGAUACAGUUUGGGGUCAACCAUCUGGGCCAUUUCCUGCUCACCCACCUGCUGCUGGAUCUCCUGAAACGAUCAGCUCCCAGCCGCAUAGUGGUGGUCUCCUCCAAACUCUAUAAGCACGGUCACAUUAACUUUGAGGACCUGAACAGCGAGCAUAGCUACGACAAGGCCUUUGCCUACAGUCGAAGCAAACUAGCCAACCUGUUGUUCACCUGUGAGCUGGCUCGUCGACUCGAGGGCAGCGGAGUUGUGGUGAAUGCUCUGACUCCAGGCAUAGUGAGGACUAAUAUUGGGAGGUGUAUUCGUGUCCCAGUGUUAGCUAAACCCAUGUUUAACCUGCUCUCAUGGGGCUUGUUUAAGAGCCCUAAAGAAGGAGCUCGGACUUCAGUCUAUUUGGCUUGCAGCCCAGAUGUAGAGGGUGUGCAGGGAAAGUGCUUUGCAGAUUGUCAGCCUCAGGUUCUGCUGGACAAGGCAACAGACCAGGAGGUAGCCAGUAAACUGUGGGACAUUAGUGAAGUCAUGGUGGGCAUAACCACAUGAAAUCUAAAAUGAAUUCAAGCAAGCUAAUCCGCAAACAGGAUGGGUGCAGGUCAAAGCAGGGAGUUAACUGACACAUCUGGGAACUCCUCAUCUUCACUUGUAUGAUCAACAGUUUUGCAUCUGCUUUCAGUCAUCUUUAUUUUUUCAAAUUCUUUCAGUGGUGAUGGACAGAGUGCUAUCUUCAGUAUGUCUCUACUGUCUCUGAUUUAGGUAAGGGCCGAGUGUUAUAUAACUGUUCUUUUUUUUUGAUUAUUUGACUUGAUGAAUAUAAAUGUUUUUCUACAAUUAAUUUAAAGGCCCCUAAAACACAUGUUCUAAAUGAGUUUACUUCCUAUGAGUGAUGAGAUCCUACAUGACCACAAUACUCCUACCAAAGUUUGAACAGUUCUUGUGAAUAGAAAUUUGAGAUUCAUGUAUUUCUUUUAUUCUAUGUGCUUUUCCCUCUGGUUUUGAAGUGGGCGGGGCUUAGUUGGAUAAUGUGAUGUCGCAUGUUUCUGUGCACCUAAUACGAUUUAUUAACAUAUGAAUCAAAAUGAGUUUUCUUUUAGCUUAGUGGUCCCGACCGAUCGUAUGAGUCAUGAACAGAUGGCCUGCUUUUCUUCAAAGGGGGAAGCUCACUUGUUUGAUUUGAGAAUUAUAGUGUUUUAAUCCGAAUUAAUUUGGAGUUAUAUAUGUAUAAACAUGUAAAACAUUUAAAUAUAUACCAAAAUUCGAAAAAUCUAUGACAAACUUAAUGCAAAAUAAAUAAAUAAUAAUAAAUGGGUUAUUUGUGAUAUAAAGAAGUGUUGUAUCACAGUCUGAAUCUUAUUGAUGUAAACAACACAUGCUUUAACACAAGGGAUAAGUGUUAGGAUUAUUUGCUGCUGAGAACAGAGCUUUUAAGUGUGUGGAGCUGCUGGUUCCAAAUGUAUUACUCCUAAAUUCCUUUCAAGUUUUCUUUUAAUCUCUUCAAUGUUGAACAACAUAAAAACACUGGAGUCUCCUGGAUAAUGUAAUCAGACAGUAGAUUUACGUUCUGACCAUCAGUUCAAAUUACUUUAACUCUGUUUCUUUCAGUUUGCUUUGGUGAAUGCAAAUACCUCAAUACCCAUGAGCCUCAGCUGCCAUUGCUAUGGAGAGGAAAUCACCUUUCACAACAACACCUACGGAACUGGCUGUUUGCCUGAUCCACGGGGGUAUGUCACCUAACUUUUUCUCAAAAAAAAUUUUCAGCAAAGUCUUUGGUCUACCAUCUGGCCCAGCGACCAUUGAGAAAGUGGUAGACCAUGGCCUAAGGACUAAACUAGAGAAGGCAAGUUUAAAAAUAAUUACACAUCUCUACCAUAUUCUUACUGUUUGUUUUGAAAUACUAGGAGUGUCAGGAAGUUUUGGCAUGGAGGAUCAAAGUCCUUGAUUUGUGAAAUAGUGGUUCAAUUAAGUACAUUUAGCUGGACUUUAUAAAACAUGAUCCUGUUUGCAAACUACCAGGGAGCUAUCUAACAUUGUUCUUGCUUCCUUACAGACUUUACUCUUACCAUACCAGAGAGAACCUUUUAGGCAACACAGUGAGCACACAUAUAAGCAGUGCAGGGAUGCUUCAUGCUGCCAGACAGGCUGUUAAUGAAACUGCUGAAGAGCUGGCUCUGAUGAGAGGUCCGGUGCUUGGCGCACGGGAAAGAGCUGAUGGAAGCUGUGCUCGAGUUUUACUGUGAGGGGCAAAUACAGGCAGCCCUCCACCAAUUCAAAGGACUGGGUACUCUUGGUGUCCUGGAGGAGGUCACCUCACACCCUCAAGCUUUGAGAAAAUCUUCAUCCCUGAAGGCCAGUGAUAUCAUGGGGCUUCUCCAUGCCAGAUGUAGAUCAUUGCCGGCAUCAAAUCGGAGGUGGCUGGAAGCCAGGGCCAUUACCUUUAGGAAGGAUUGGCUCUUGGAGGUUGAAGGUAGACUUGCCCAUCCAAUCACUCUUCAGCAUGUCCUCAUCUUUGCCACAAUCCUGCAGCGAAUCCCAGCAGUGUGUUGUUUACUGCAGCCAGAGCUACAUUUUUCCACCCAGAAGAUUGACUGGCCAGGUUCCCAAAGGCGAAUACACGAACGUGACGUCAAAAAUAACAUGUAGCUUGGAGUAGUCUCUUCUCAUCAGCUUGGGGGGGCUAAAUAUUAGAUGGAUUUUCUAAUGGUUUUGAUAUUCUAAAUGCUGUUUUUAUUUUUUGACAUAAUAACACCUUUGAUGACAAGCAAUUGUAUUUGGUCUGUCCAUUGUUAUUGCAUUGGAAGACUGAUUUUCAGAAGGAAAAACAAUGCUUGGGCUGGAGUUGUUAGCAAAGAUUGGUGGAUAUUUGAUGCCCUCUGAUCCAAACUAUCAUAGUUUUCAUCAUUGUGGUACUGUCGUCAUACUGUCAUGAAUGAUUAUCUGUAAGUUUUCAGUAGGCUGUUAAAGUACAUUGAACAAUGUUUUUCUUAUUUAUAUGUUUUAAAAAAUGUGUUUUUUCCUAUGCUAUUUCUGUCAAACACAUGACUUAUGUUUGAUCCCAGUCGGUUGAUGUAUACUAUAAUUACAAAGGUUAUGGUAUAGUAAAACAAAUGUUAUCGUUAAGGGAACUAAUCAGAGUGGGUUUACAUCAGAAUUAUCAUAGACUAUUCCUGGCUUACUAGGGGACACUUUUCUGUUGGUUUUUUGUGUCAUUAAACUGAGUUCAUAGAUCCUUGUUUUUAUAAGGCCCUUUGAACAGAUUUUUUGUCUGCAGGCCUGAAAAACAUUUUAUUACAGUAAUGGAUUGGUGCUACAAGGGGCAUUGUCUGUACAUGUUGCUGUACAAGUCUACCACCGGGCAGAACAGGUAUUCGGGAUCAAUGCUGUGCUUUGGCUCUAGGUGUUCUCCGAGCCCACUGCUACUGCUGGAAAUCCAUCACUUACACUGUAUAGCAAGGGCAAAAACACAUGAGGAAAGUAAAGGAGAGAAUUGGAUUGUUGAUACCAAAAACUUGGUAAAGUAAGGUUAAGCUCCAGACAAGAUGUGAUGUGUAAAAAGGAUAAGAAGAAGGAAUAAGAAAGUUACAGUAUAAGAAGGGCAAUAG